This 25267-nucleotide long non-coding RNA is filed under the name Marmota monax (woodchuck). The record is from RNAcentral. Lineage: Eukaryota; Metazoa; Chordata; Mammalia; Rodentia; Sciuridae.
AAAAUUGCUUCUAUGCCAACAUAAAAUUUGGGUGGUUUUGAUGGCUUUCCUUUUAUUGCUCUUAUUUGGAGAACACAGGAAGACAUUUGGACUGAGGAGCUACAGUGUGCUGUGCAAGCCCCCCACUUCUCCUUGGAAGUUUGAGCAGGAGGUCUCUUCACUGUGUGACGCAGGCAUGGCCAUCAUGCACAGCCACCCGCAGAAGAGUGUUGUCCUGAUGGUCGUGAGUUGGAGACUUGUUCACCCCCUCAGUUUGAUGUAUGACAGCCACUCUGAGAGCCCCAUAGAGCCGACUGAAGAUGGCUGACUCAAGGCCCUCGGGUAAGACAGUCCAGACACAGUACUUUGAAAUUUUCAUAAUUCAAUUGUAUCCAAAAUUAACACAUGUGGUACAGCUGUCUGUGAAAGGUCUUGUAGCUCCCCACAACUUCCAAGGAGGGCUCCCUGGCAAGUGACAGUGGAAAAGCAUGGGUCAGCAGAUGUGUGAGUCAUUUUGUGCUCAUAAAACUAGCCCAAAAUAGCAACUGCAAACAGCCAAGCAAAUCAAAGCAAAAGAAAGAAGCACACAGAGGGGGUCAGGAUAACUGACCCUAAGGGAGACCAUUGUAAGAUGUAUUCAAGAGGCUAGUGCUGAAAUCCAAUAUACUGUGUGCAAAUAUUCACUCAGCAAACUCGAAUACAUUCUUGCUGAUUAAAAACAUGUUAAGAAUUUUUAAAAAACAAUAGAGAGGCUAGAUGAUCACAGUGAGGAAAUAUUCAAACAGGCAACCUAGAAUCAGGAAUGAAAAUAAGAGAAAAAGUGAUAUAGAAGAUUGGACACUGAACAAUAUUAGUAGUAGAAAAUAGAAGAAAGAAAUUAUUAAUGCUAUCAUUGAAAGAGUUUACAACUGAAAUUCAACUAUUACAACAUUAAAAGGGUUCUGAGACCAUGGCAAGGUGGUGAAUAUAUUUCACUUUUCAAAAUAUGCAAGAAAAGUGGGCUGGGGAUGUGGCUUAAAUUGUAGCGUGCUUGCCUAGCAUGCAUGAGGUGAUUAUCAGCACCACAUAAAAAAAAUAAAUAAAUAUAUUAGGGGCUGGGGUUGUGGCUCACAGGUAGAGCACUCACCUACCAUGUGUGAGUCACCUGGUUCAAUCCUCAGCAGCACAUGAAAAUAAAAUAAAGAUAUUGUGUCCACCUAUAACUAAAAAAUAUUUUUAAAUAUGCAAGAAAAGCAAUAUCUAUAUAAGCUUCCGAAGAGCCUAAAAGCACCAGAAAUACAAUGGCUUUCUGUUUCUCACCAAUAAACUGUAAGGCACAGGGAAUUUUCAAAGUGGAAUAUUGUAGCUAACCUGAAUGUUGUUUACACAGAAGCUAAAUUUAUGUCUGUAGAACAUUUUUAAAAAUUUAUUUAUUUAUUCUACUUUGUUAUAUGUGACAGCAAAAUGUAUUUCAAUUCCUAGUCCACAUAUAGAGCACAAUUUUUCAUGACUGUGGUGGUACACAAAGUAGAGUCACACCAUUUGUGUCUUUAUACAUGUCCUUAGGGUAAUGAUACCCAUCUCAAUUCACCAUCUUUUCUACCCCCUGCCCCUUCUCUUUCCCUUCAUUUCCUCUGCCUUAUCUAAAGUUCUUCCAUUUCUCCCAUGUUCCCCCAUCCCCAUUAUGGAUCAGCCUCCUCAUAGGAGAGAAAAGAUCUGGCAUUUGUUUCCUUAGGAUUGGCUCACUUCACAGAGCAUAAUAUUCUUCAACUGCAUCCAUUCACCUGAAAAUUUGCAAAUGUCAUGAUUUUAUUAUCUUUUUAUGCUGAAUUUUAUAUAUAUAUAUAUAUAUAUAUAUAUAUAUAUAUAUAUAUAUAUAAUCGCAGUUUUUUAACCCAUUCACCUACUGAAGAACAUCUAGGUUGGUUUCACAAAUUAGCUAUUAUAAAUUUUGCUGCUAUAAACAUUGAUGUGGCUGUGUGUCUCUAAUGACUUUAAGUCCUUUGGGUAAAAACCGAGGAGAGGGACAGCUGGUCAUAUGGUGGUUCCACUCUGAGGUUACCAAGGAAUCUCCAUAUAGCUUUCCGUAUUGGUGGCACCAAUCUGCCGUCCCACUAGCAAUACAUGUGGGCACCUUUUUCCCCUUGAUAGACCCAGCCUGAUUUUCUCUUAAAUUGGGAGCCAUCUCACUACAAAGCCAUGAAAAGCUAAUUUCAGAUUUACUGUAAAUUACUGCAAAUUCUGAACUGCUUGGAAUGCCUGCCCAUGCCUUGAACUCACCCAUGCCUGGCUCUCUGACCAGAUAGCAGCCCUCUCUGAAACUCUAGUGAUGCCUCAUAAAUCCUGGCCUUCCCUCACCAAUUAAUGACCCCCUCCGAGGCUCUAAUGACCUUCAUAAAUUCUGAUAUCAAGGCCUGCAAAAAUUUAAACUAGUCUUUGUGUUCUGCUCAUCCGAGUUUUGUUAUCUGUAACCCCCUUUGUGUAACUUUUUGGGCUAUAAAGCUGCGCUGCAAAAAAUCUGGGGCUGUCUUGUUCCCACAGUUUUGGGUGGGAGAGGCAGCCCAGCCAGUCAAAAUAAUAACCUUGCUUUAAUUUGAUUUUAAUUGGAGCCAGUGGUCUUUUCUUGCAUCCUGGUCUACCACCCUCCCCUGUGCCACACUCACUAUUGUUUGUGUUCCUAGAAGCUGCCAUUGUCCCUGGAGUGAAAGAGGAAUUUUGAUCUCUAAGAAUCUUUUUAAAAUAAGUUGUGUUUCUCCAAAAAGAGAAUAGUGAAGGAGGAAGGUGAGAGCUGAAGGGACACAGGUCGACCAGAAGCUGGGCAGGGCUGGGAGCUGGGGGGCUGUGCCUGUGGCUGGAGGGCACCAGGGCAGAGCAGGCUGAGCAGACAGACGUCAGUCAUGGCUGGGGUACAUCCUGAUGGGUGGCUUUUCCUGUCUGAGGUGUAGAUCCUCAGGCAGUAGCUGCUCUCUGGAUGUCACACUCUCAGGUCUCAUUGUAGUGAAUGUGUCUGUGUGGGAUCUAAUUGGAGGCCACCUUCUCUCUGCUCUGGAGAGGACAGAACAGUUUAUUCCCACCCACACAUGGGCCACCGCCCUUGGUGCUGUUCACCUCCUGAGGACACCUGGCUGAGUCCUGCUGUUGUCCUCAGUCAUCUCUCUGUGAUCCUUGUCCCUCCACAGGAGCAACUCUGUAGAACAGGCACUUUCUGACCCUGCUCUUCCAUCCAGAGGGCGCCUGAGCCUGCCAAGGGUGAGGGGUCUGCCAUGUUUUGGGGACAAGUGGUCCAGCUUGACCUGCCUUUCAUCCUUGACCUCUGCAUAGACCCUUGGGAGACCCGUGUCCUCAUGCCUGAUUCGGAGCCCUGGUUCUACGAUGUGGUGUACAGAGUCUAGCAGGCUCGUAGUUCACACCCAGCCCAUGGCUGGCUUGCCACAUCUCCAUAUGCUUAUCACUCAAAGCUAAGGGACCCUCAGUUCCAAUGUGGCAGCUCCAGACACACUCAGGUCAUUGCACUGGUCAGAGGGCUGGUGCAUCACUGUAUUAGUCUUCCUGGGCUGCUGUAACAAAACAUCCAGCCUGGGGGCCUUACAGACCACAGGCCCUGACUGCUCAUUGAUGACCUCAGGCCACUACUCAAGCCAACUCCACCUCUGCCUGAUGGCCAAAGCCAUCUCCAGCCAGUGGAUCUUGGGAUAAGGAAAGAGAUGGCAGCUGGCCAUUGCUAGGAGCCCUGCUUCCUUCCCAUCACCCAUGCUGUGUGGAACAGAAAGACAGUACAGGGCCAGCUGUGUCCCUUGUCGCCAGGCCCCCUUGUCACCUCUGAGUUCUUCAGCAUCCUCUGGGCUGGGUCACAUUCUUAAGACCCAGCCACACCAUUGACUUUGUAGCCCAAGUCCUCACAGAGGCUCCAUGUUCUUCAGUGUCAAGCUUUCAAUUCUGCAGGUAUAUCAACAAAAUUAUUACUUUAAUUAUUAUUAUUACUAUUGGUACUAGGGAUUCAACCUGGGGUGCUUAACCACUGAACUACAUCCCUAAUCCUUUUUUUAUAUUUUAUUUUGACACAGACUCUCUCUAAGUUGCUUAGGGACUUUCUGAGUUGCUGAGGCUGGUUUCCAACUAGCAAUCCUCCUGCUUCAGCCUCCCAAGUCACAGAAUUACAGGUGUGUGCCACAUCAAAAUUAUUAUUGACACAGGCACAUUAACAUAGGUUCGAAAUUAUAAUGUAGAGAUUAUCUAUUAUUACAUUAUAAUCGUACCAUUAUUAUUAAAUAAUGAAAUUCUAUGUUAUAUACUCUAUUUAACAUUCUAUGGGUAUUCCCUAUCUGGAGCAAUGAGACACAGCAGAAUCAGGAUCCACCCAGCUGCCUCUACCCCCACAGCCUCCCUCAAACUCUGCUCCCCAGGAAGCCAAAUCCCAUGGCCCUAGACCGUUUCUAACCCAUGAUCAUGCUCAGUCUGGUUGAUAAUCUGCCUAGCAGUACCCAACUUGCUUGCUUCCUGUGUUCUUAGAGAUCUCUGCUCCCAGGACGGAAGGUCUCCUCAAAAAACAUAGUGUUAUCUGCUAUGGUGUGGCAUGCCCGUAAUCCAAGUGGCUUGGGAGACUGAGGAAAGAGGGUUGCAAUUUGGGGGCCAGUCUCAGCAAUGUAGUGAGGGCCUAAGCAAUUGGGCAAGACCCUGUAUGUAAGAUAUAAAAAAGGGUGGGGUAUAUGGCUCAGUGGUUAGGCACACUGGGUUCAAACUACAGUACCAAAAAAGAAAAAUAAAAUGAAGAUAAAACAACCUACUAGGCUACUAAGCUAGGAUACUCUUGGCUGAUGAAUUGAGCAUUGGGGAUGUUGGUUGCUAUGGGAAUGAUACACUGAAAUACAGUGCAGUUUUGUGGAUGGGGUGAUGCUGUGUGUCUAGUUAUUGGAAACAUUUAUUUAAAAUCGACCAGUGCAAGUAAAAUUUCUUAGUGCUGCAGAACUCAGCUCCAGAAAUGAUAAUUUCCCAGCUGUAAAGCUAUGGUCUUAGCCCUCUCAAACAAAUUGAGAUGAUACUGAGUUUGUAAGGGUUUUCCUGAGGCUGAUGUAGUAAAUAACCAAAAACAAAGAGACUGAAAUCAAAAGUGAUCCAGGAACCACCCCCCUCCCCCAGCCCUGGAGGGCAAAGGACUGAGACCAGUGGUCACAAGGAUGAGCUCCCUCCACAGGAUGCAGGGUCGAUCCUGCCUGUCUCUCCCAGCUCCUGGGGCUCCAGGUGGCCCCAUAAUUUCAGUCUCUGCCUCUGUCUCUAUGUGGCUCCAUCUCUGUGUCUUUGUCCUCUCUUCUGUCUCUUGUGAGGACACUGCCAUUGCAUAAGGGCUACCUGACCCAGAAAAAAAAACCCAUCUCAGGAUCUUUCAUUAACUACCUCUGCAGAGACCCUGUUUCCACACAAGAUCCCACUCAGAGGUUCUAAGGGCCAGAUGUGGACAGGACCCACCUCUUACAAUGGUGUCCUGCUCCCUCCACAGGCUCCAGGGAACAUCCUUCCUGCCUCUCCCAGCUCCUGGGGCUCCAGGUGGCCCUUGGCAGAACAAUAUGGUGGCCUCUCAAAAGCUUAGGGUUGAAUCACAAUAUGACCCAGCAAUGCCACUGGUGGGGUCGGACCCAAAGGAUUUGAAAGCUAUUGGUCCAAAAGACACUUGCAUAUCCUGUGUUCACAGAAACCCUGAUCCCCAGUAUAACUGGGGACUAGGGAAAAAAUUAUGUCUUGGUGGGGUAUGGGGGAGACAGGGCCAAAAUGGGGGCAAAAGAGAUGGUCUGAGUGGGGGACUUUGAAGGCCAGAGGAUCUUAGAGAGUGUGGGGAAUUUUCUUAUUUUGGCUAAACUGUGUACAUGAUGUCAUACAGGCUUGUAAAAUUGUACUCUUUUCUGAGCCCUUUAUUCUUAGGAGCAAAUCACUAACUUUACUCAAAUCCAUCAGCAUGCAUCUGUCUAUAUAUCUAUCCAUCUGUCUAUGUACCAGCCAUCCCUCCGUCCACCCAUCUGCCCAUUUUCUCUCCCAUGCAUCAUGGAUUUGUGUAUUUACCCACCCAUAUACCCAUUCAUCCAGCCAUCCAUUCAGACAUACAUACAUCUUCCCAUCCAUGCAUCUUCCCACCCAUUCACCCAUACUUCCAUUCAUCCAGGGGCAACUGGCCACUUCACCACAUCCCCAGCCCUGUUUUGUAUAUUAUUUAGAGUCAAGAUCUCACUGAGUUGCUUAACACCCUAUUUUGGCUGAUGCUGCCUGACCAAGCAAUCCUCCUGACUCAACCUCCUGAGAGGCUGGAAUUACAGUCCUGCACCACCAUGCUUGUACUUCUUAUUUCCUCAUUGGUAUCAUAACAGCUUGGAGUCACUAUCUGGGGUUAUUUUCUAAGAUCCAUCACAGUUAUGCUCCCACCCAUUGUUUGAACCACAAUAAAAAGGGGGGCUGGGGAUGUAGCUCAGUGCUAAAGUGCCCCCACCCUCAAUUCAAUCUCUACAUGGGGGACAAUAUAAGCACCUGGGAUUCAAUUCUCAGCUCUAGGAAGCUAUGUGCCCAUGUUUCCACACUUUUUACACAAGAGCCCCCCUUGUCCAUGGGCAAUAUUGUUAGGUAGAAUGAAUGUGAGACACUGUGCAGGAUGUGAAAGGCUUCACAAAGUCCAACUUAAGAGAAGAGAAUAAAAUUGUAUUUACUUUCCAUUAUGGGAGUUAAUAUGACAGGCUGUAUUGGCCCCAAGUGGCAAAUUUUUAUGUUUUAUAUGCGGGCUUUCUGGCAGAGCUGAGCAGGGUUAUUAUUUCUUUCUUUUUUAACUAUCAGUUGAAACCCAGGAAGCUGAGAGUGCUGGGUCAGCUUCUGGGGGUACGUUGCUUCCUAGGCAGGAUGCAGAUGGGCUUGUGGAUUUUUGGAAAAAGUUGGUGCAUCUGAAACCUUGAUAUGGAAAGAGUAGAAAGGAGGGGGACUUUAUACUGAGAGAAAAUAAUGAGGUCAGUUUGUGCAAUAGAAUGACAUGUUUCAAGGAGGCAAAUGAGCUUGAACUCACAGACAUGUUAUGAGACUACAGAUGCCUGAAGCCUAACCUAAUAAAAUUUUAUAUAUUAUGGUAUUAUUUGCAUAUCACCUAUUGCAAUGAUAAUACAAUAUUAUUCUUAUGCAAUAAAUAUUAACUCCUACAUACAAUUUCCCCUGUACAUACAUGGCAAUGUUUUCCCUUUCUGGAAAAUCUCAAAGCCCUUGUCAGCACCUGAACACAGGGUAAGGACAUGGUUUCCUUGUCUCCCUGGUGUAGCUGCACUGGUAAAAUUUCUUUCCUGCUUUCAAUCAACACCUUUUCUUUUUGCUUUUAGGGCAAACAGCUGACCAGACUUCUCGAAUCAGCAGAAUGAGUCUGUACAUAAGAAUUGAUAAUAGUAGAAUGUAGACUAUCUACAUUGAGCACAAGGCGCCCAUUUUAUUUCCACUGCACAUUGCUGUUUUAGAGGGUUGGUUACCUCCCCCCACCCCACCCCUUUCUCCGCUGGGGAUGGAACACUGAGCCACAGCUCAAACCCCAAAUGUUUCCUUUUAUAGCUCAGGCUGCCUCCUCAAAGAUCAGAGGCCAAGAGGUAAUUAGAAUUACUAAAAUAAUUUUCAAAUUUUUUUCAUUAGUAUUAUAUCAUUUUAUAUAUAUAUAUAUAUAUAAAUGAUAUAAUAUAUAUAUAUAUAUAUAUAUAUAUAUAUAUAUAAAUGAUAUAAUAUAUAUAUAUAUAUAUAUAUAUAUAUAUAUCUUUAAAAAGUGUUUCAAAAAUUUGGAGACAGUGUCUUUGUGUGUGUGUGUGUAUAUAUAUAUAUAUAUAUAUAUAUAUAUAUAUAUAUAUAUAUAUAUAUCUACCUACCUAGAAGACUCAAAAAGCCUCACCAGAAAACUUCUAGUAAAUGAAUUCAGCAAAGUAGCAGGAAUAGAAUCAUAUCAUCAGCAAACAGAGCUAAUUUAAGUUCUUCUUUUCCUAUACAUAUCCCUCUGAUUUCUUUCGUCUAAUUGCUCUGUUAAGUGUUUCAAGAACUAUGUUGAAUAGAAGUGGUGAAAAGUGCAUUCCUGUCUUGUUCCUGUUUUUAGUGGGAAUGCCUUGAAUUUUUCUUUAUUUAGAAUGAUGUUGGCCUUAGGCUUAGUUCAGAUAGCAUUUACAAAGUUGAGAUAUGUUCCUGUUAUUUCUAGUUUUUUUUUUUUCCUAGUGUUUUGAACAUAAAGUGAUGCUGUAUUUUGUCAAAUGCUUUUUCUGCAUCUAUUGAGAUGGUCAUAUGAUUCUUAUCUUUAAGUCUAUUUGUCGGGGUUUUUAGUAUCAUUCCCUCCUGACCUCAGGAGAGAUGGGGAGAGCACGCCCCGACCAGGACGAGCCAAGAAAUAGACGGCCGACUGACCGCCUGCACCCAGCCCUCCCUCGCCAGAGGACAAUCAGACACAUCAGGGAGACCAGUCCAAGCAGGAUCUCAUUUAAUGAGAAAACACACACACAGCUAAUAUAAUGUUCAGGAGCCAAUCAGGAUAAAGGUCAGCAGGGUGGGGAGAGUUCACAUGUACACCCAUCCUACAGGCAGUAAUGGGUGACACAAUCUGUCCAUGAGGUUAGAAGGUUCUGAGCCUAUCCUAGAGGUGGUCCAGUUUUUCGUCACAACCCAUGGUAAUGCCUUCUGGCUGAUUGGCAGGCACUAUCUUAGCCACAUGUGGACCAGGACUGGGAAGGGGGUAGCAGCCAGCAAGUUAAGUUUCCUCUUUUUUGAUGCAAUAUGCCCUACAUGUUACAUCAUGCCCUCAUCUCUUGUUGUGAUAAAUUACAUUUAUUGAUUUCUGUAUAUUGAACCAACCUUAAAUUCCUGGGCUGAAUCACACUUGAUUAUGGUGCACAGUCUUUUUGAUAUGUUUUUGUAUUUGAUUUGCCAGAAUUUCAUUGAGAAUUUUUGCAUCUAUGUUCAUUAGCGAUAUUGGUCUGAAGUUUUCUUUCUUUGAUGUGACUUUGCCUGUUUUGGGGAUCAGGGUGAUAUUGGCCUCAUAGAAUGAGUUUGGAAGUGCUGCCUUUUUUUCUAUUUCCUGAAAUAAAUUAAAGAGUGUUGGUAUUAGUUCUUCUUUAAAGGUCUUUUAGAAGUCGGCUGUGUAUUCAUCCAAUCCUGCGCCUUUCUUGGUUGAUAAGCUUUGUUUUCUAUUUUAUUACUUGAUAUUGGUCUGUUUCAAUUGUGUAUGUCUUCCUGAUUCAAUCUGGGCAGAUAGUAUGACUUAAGAAAUUUGUUGAUAACUUCAAUGUCUUCUAUUUUAUUGGAGUAUAAGAUUUCAAAAUAAUUUCAAAUUAUCCUGUAUUUCUGUCAUAUCUGUUGUGAUAUUACCAUUUUCGUCACAUAUACUGGUAACUUGAGUUCUCUCUCUCUCAUUCUCUAUGUUAGCAUGGCUAAGGGUCUGUCAGUUUUAUUUAUUUUUUCAAAGAACCAACUUUUUUUGUCCAUUUUGUCAUUUGUUUCUUUGUUUCAAUUUUAUAGAUUUUAGCUCUAAUUUUAAUUAUUUCUUGCCUUCUACUGCUUUUGCUGCUGGUUUGUUCUUCUUUUUCUAGGGCUUUGACAGGUAGUGUGAGGUCAUUAAUUUCAACUCUCUUUGAAGGAAUGAACUCCAUGCAAUGAAUUUUCCUCUUAGUACUGCUUUCAUAGUGUCUCAGAUUUCCAUAGGUUGUGUCUAUGUUCUUAUUUACCCAUGAGAAAUUUUUAAUCCUCUUCUUGAUUCAUUCUGCAAUGCAUUGUUCAUUCAGUAGCCUAUUGUUUAGUCUCCAGGUGAUGGAGAAAUUUUUAUUUUUUAUUUUGUUUUUGAUUCCCAAUUCCAUGUAAUUAUGAUCUGAUGAAAUGCAUGGUAGUGUCUCUACUUCUUUAUAUAUGCUAAGAGUUUCUCUGUGGCAUAUAUAUGGUCUAUUUUAGAGAAGGAUCCAUGUGCUACUGAGAAGAAGUGAAUCUGUUUGAUGCAGGUUGAAAUAUUCUCUGUGUGUCAGUUAAGUCUAAGUUAUUGAUUGUGUUAUUGAGUUUUAUAUUUUUUUUAUUCAACUUUUGUUUGGAAGAUCUGUCCAGUGGUAAUAGAGGUGCGUUAAAGUCACCCAAGAUUAUUGUGUUGUGGUCAAUUUGACUCUUGAACUUGAGAAGAGUUUGUUUGAACAAAGCUGCACCAUUGUUUGGGGCAUAUAUAUUUAUGAUUGUUACAUCUUGUUGGUGAGUGGUUCCCUUGAGCAGUAUGUAAUGUCCAUCUUUCUCCCUUUUCAUUCCCUUUGGCUUGAAGUCUACGUUAUUUGAUAUGAGUAUGAAAAUCCCUGUUCACUUGUGCAGUCCACAUAAGUGGUAUUGUUUUUCCCAACAUUUCACCCUCAGUCAGUGUAUGUAUUUUUCUAUCAGCCUCCUGGAGGCAGCAUCUUGUUGGCUCUUUUUUUUUUUUUUUUAAUCCAGUCUGUUGGCUUAUGUCUUGUGAUUGGUGUCUUUAAUCUAUUAGAAUUCAGGGUUAUUAUUGAGAUAUGGUUUGUAUUUCUGGCCAUAUUUGUUUAUUUUUGUUAUUUAACUUGACUUGGUUUUCUUCUUUGAUUAGUUUUUCCUUUGAGGUGCUACCUUUCUCUUCUGAUUUUCAUUGUUGUUUUUCUUUUCUUCUUCAUGGAAUAGAUUUCCAAGGAUGUUUUGUAGUGCUGGUUUUCUAGCUAUAAAUUCUUUUAACUUUUGUUUAUCAUGGAAGGAUUUUAUUUCAUCUUGAAAUCUAAAGCUUAAUUUUGCUGGAUACAGGAUUCUUGGUUGGAACCCAUUUUCUUUCAGCUUGAUAGAUGUUGUUUCAGGAUCUUCUAGUUUUUAGGGUCUGUGAUGAAAAAAAUCUGCCAUUAUCCUAAUUGAUUUUUACCUAUAUAUAAUCUGAUUCCUUUCUCUUGUGGUUUUUAAAAUUCUCUCCAUAUCCUGUAUGGUGAGCAUUUUCAUUAUUAUGUGCCUUGGUAUGGAUCUGUUUUGAUUUUUUACAUUCGGCAUCCUGUAGCCUCUUAAAUUUGGAUUUCCAAUUUAUUCUUUGUGUUUUGAAAGUUUUCUGAUAUUAUUUCAUUGAAUAGAUUCUUGAUUCCUUUGGUUUGGUCCUCUAUGCUUCCCUCUAUCCCAAUAACUCCUAAAUUUGGUCUUUUUAUGCUAUCCCAUAUUUUUUGAAUAUUCUGCUCCUGGUUCCUUACCAUUUUCACUCUGUGGUCUAUGUUCCUUUCAAGAUUAUAUAUUUUAUCUUCAUUGUCUGAUGUCCUAUCUUCCCAGUACUCUACUUUGUUCAUGAUGCUUUCAUUUGAGCUUUGAGUUUGGUUUAUUAUCUCAUUCAUUUCAAAGAUUUCUGUUUGUUUGUUUAUUUUAGAACCUCUAUCUCCCUGUUGAGGUGAUCUUUUGCUUCUUUGAUUUGUUUAUGUAGCUCAUUAUCGAAGUGAUCUCUUACUGCUUGUCUUUGCUCUCUUAUGUCUUCUUGGAGUUCACAGGACAUUUUAACCCCUGCAUCCUGAAAUCUUUCUGUGUCCAUUUUUCUGCUGUAGCUGCCAAUGUUUCUAAUGAAUUGUUGUCUUGAUUUGUUUUGGGCACUUUCUUCUCUUGUCUUUUCAUGUUGCUUGUGUGUCUUUCUUUCCAGCUCUGUGGUUCUCGGGUGUUAUUGUUUUUACCCUAUAGAUUUGUAGUGCUCUUUUAUGGUUGCAAGAUCCCUCCUUUGAGGGGAAGGACAAUGUUAAAAGAUCCCAAUAUCAACAAUACAUCAUGUAUGAACAAUUUGUUGUUAUUAGGACAUUUACAGUUUAGUCUCAAUGUCCAGAAAUGAUUCAAUUAUUAUUUAAAAUAUAAUCAGUAGUUUUUUAAAAAGGUUUACAGUUUCUGGCAUUGGACAAUGAACUGGCGUCUGGCAGGAUGAUAUGUGGGUCAGAGGGAGUUCCCAUUUGCCAGCCAUGCUCACCAAAUAUGGGGAGAAAAGUGAUACAAGAUGGAGCCAGUCUGCUUCCAGAGCCAGGGUGACCAGUGACGUAGGGAGAGCCUUGUGCUGUGGGUAGGUAGCAGCUGAGUAACCUGUGUGGGAAAGGGUGCAGCCUAGAGUUCUGCAGAGGGGCUGAGAGGUGUUUCCGCUUAGCCACUGAAGAGCUGUUUGUGGAUAGAGCUGUGGACUUUGGGCCUGGAGUCCAGAGUCUUACUCGAACACUGAGGCUCUGAAUUCUGCACUGGGCUUACAGCAUGGUGAUUUCUGUGAAAAUCCACUCUAUAGUGGACUUUCACACACUCUGAGAUCCUGUAUUCUGAUGAGGUGAGACCUGUGCCAUGGAACAACACAGGAUGCUGUCUGUCUCUGGCCCACCAUCUUGAAUUUCCCCCCUUCAGCUCUUGACAUGACAUGGUACCCUUUCAACUCUCAAGGCCUCUUUAAACAGCAGGGAAGAACUCAAACUGGAGAAAAGCCUUGUAUGUAGAAAUGUGGUAAAUCAUUCAGUUGUUUCAGAUCUAUUUAGAUUUGUUCAGAUUUGAGAGAAUAUUUAUUAUUAUUAUUAUUAUUAUUAUUAUUAUUAUUAUUAUUAUUAUUAUUAUUAUUUUAUUUUCAACUCAGAGGUGCUGAACCCCUGAGCCAUAUCCCAGUCUUUUUUUUAAUUUUAUUUUAUUUUUCAAAUUGUGAAUCAUGGUCUCACUUGGUUGCUUAGGUCCUAAGUUUCUGAGGUUGGCUUUGAACUUCUGAUCCUGCUGCCUCAGCCUAAUAUAGUCUUCACUGCCUUCAGCACCACCCUCUUUUGAGAAAAAAACUGUGGGUGUGUGAAAAGUGUAUAUGUCUUCAUUCUGGCUAUUCACAGAUGAUAAAAAUGCAUCCUAGAGUGGAUGUAAGGAUGGCAUCAGUGUGAAGAUGUAAAAGCAAGGUUAAAUCUCUGUUAUUGUUAGGUUCAACUUUUCUGUAUUUUAAGUUCUUUGCAUCUGUAGUCAAAUCUCACAUAUUAUGACAUAAUCUUAUAUAUACUGUGCAUUUUUGUGUGUGCAAAAAAGUUAGUUGCAUUAACUUUUAGUCGCAGCAUUUUAAUUCUUUUUUUGAGUUUUUAUCUCUCUCCUUCCAUUAAGUACAUUUUCUCUCAUAUUGUCCAUUUUUUCCAGUAAAGGCUUUAUCAUAUAAAUGCCAUUUUAAAACUCUGGUCUCAUAAAUUGAAAACUUUUUCCAUAUGUAAUUCUGAUAUUUUCUGUGUCCUCAAAUAUUGUAUGACUUUUACGUAUGUUGUGACAAAAUAAAAAUUGUGAGAGGUUUUAGAUAUAUAAUUACCAGGGUCAGAGAAUGGAGAAAAGAAAAGGAACAUUAUCAUCAUCGUAUCUGGAAUCCUUAAGCACUGAGCCCCAUCCCUAAUCCUUUUUAGUGUUUUUGUUUGUUUGUUUGUUUGUUUCAUAGAGUAUCUUGCUAAGUUUUUCCCAAGGGCCUGCGUUUCUUGCUGAGGCUGAGCUGAAGCUUGUGAUCCUCCUGCUAUGGCCACUGGGAUCACAGUCAUAUGCUACCAUGCGCAGCUCCUGGAUGUUUCCUGAAACCCUGAUGUGAUCAAAAUGUGCCUUGUUUGUGUCAAGUUUCCAGGUGUCACCAAUUCAGAUACAAGAAUGGCUUCUUCAUAUGUUUCUGUAUAUUAAUGCCCUUCAAUCUCUAAGAUUAUAAAAUGAUGCUGAUCAUAAGAACGUUAAUUCACACCUUCCAAAUUAUUAUUAGUUCAGUUGAAUUCCACUGGAGUUGACUUGGAAAAAAUGUAUUUUAGAUAAUUUAUGUUGAAAGCAGGGGUGGAAGAACUAUUUAAAUAUUUAAGGAAACCAAUUAUUCAGUUCUAUUAAGAGCUCAUGAUAUAAUGAACUUUAAUUAUGCACCAGACACCAGAAAAGCACUUUAGCAGGUUCACAGAGGCUAUCAGAAAUGCCCUGGUGCUCACGUGAGGGUUUUCUAGAGCAGCAAGUGACAUUAAAAAAAAUGAAAGAAACACCUGGGAGGUGUGAGUAGUGCCACCCACACGUGUACACUCACACUCACAUGCACAUACAUGUACAGGAUCAAGUCACCCUUUUCUCUACAUACCCUCCCUAGUGCAAUUCUUUCAUCCUCACUUUGUAAUGCAACUAUUGAUUUCUUUGAUUUUUUCUCAUAAUGUUGCUGCCCACUAUUCCUUCUCAAAAAUCAAUUGUUAUUUCAUGACUUCUCAAUUUAGUCUUGUGUCAUUCAGAAGUUUCAGACACAUUGUGUGUGUUAGUUGAGGCCUCUCCACUCCAGCCUUGUGUACAGAUUGGUGAAAUAUCUCUUCCUUCUUCCUUUUCUCUCUUUGUUAUUUCAGACAUUACCCAGGAGGGCUCCACCACUGAGCUUCACCAAAACCCUGUUGUUAUUUUAUAAGAUAGAGUGAGGCUGGCCUUGAACUUGUGGUCACCCUGCCUCAGCCUCCUAGCAGCUGGGACCAUAGGCAUGUGCCCUUGUGUGCCCUGCAGCUGAUCUCUUCCUUUUCCUUGAUGCCUUAUUGGCCUGCUGAUGACUCUGGGACCACCACUCUGUCACUCAUUAUUUUCUAACUCUCAUGUGUUAUGUUGUAUGUAGGCAUGUUAAAGAGCAUUUUAAAAUCUUUUAGUUUGUAUGUAUUGUUUGGAUAGGCACCUUCUCAAAAUAUACUUUGCCCUAUUAUUAAUGGAGUUGCUUUUUAUUUCUUUUCUUUUCCUCAUUCCAGGGACCCAAUCCUGCCUUGUGCAUGCUAGGCAGGUGCUCUAGCACUGAGCACUCCCCUAGCUCAGGUGGUGAGUUUGCCGCUGCUGUGUGUGUAUACCCCACUACUGUUCACAUCGGCAAAUGCAGCUCUGUAGGUGUAUCCUCAUGUUUGCAGCUUGUCCCAUUUUUUUCUUAAACGUCUUUUACAGCAGUGAAUUUUAAGUCCGACUUUGCUUUUCUCCCCAUGAUUAACCCUUGGGUGGAGUAAGCCAGAAAACCCAGGCUGGAUUUCUCUAAGUGUUUAGGGUACUGUCUUACAUAGGUGACUGCAUGACCAAUAUGAUUCUGCAACAUGCACACUCAGAAAAAUAGAGAUGAUAUCCCAUCUAUGUAUGAUAUAUCAAAGUGCAUAAAUGCAUUCUAUAGUCAUGUAUAAGUAACUGAAAGAAAUAAAAUAAUUUUAAAACAAAACAAAUCCAGGUUCAAUGGCUCAUGCCAGUCAUUCCAAAGGCUCAGGAGGCUGAGGCAGGAGGACUGUGAGCUCAAAGCCAGCCUCAGACCUAGUGAGACAGUAAAUAACUCAGUGAGACCCAGUCUCUAAUAAAGUGCAAACUGUAGUUGUGGAGGUGGCUCAGUGGUUGAAGGCCCCUGAGUUCAAUUUACAGGACAUCCCGUCCCCUUUAAAAAAAAAAAGGAAAGAAAGAAACCUAAGGAAGAGGGGUAUGAUACCAGUCUUGUUGGGCACAGUUUCACACAACUAUAAUUCCAGUGGCCAAGCAGGCUGAGGGAGAGGGAUCACAAACCUAGACAGCUUCAAUUUAGUGAGGCCCUGAGGAACAAACAAGAUUCUGUGUCAAAAUAAAAAUUUUAAAGGUCUAGGAAUGUUGCUCAGUGGUUGUGCUCCCCGGGCUCAAUCCCCAGCAACAAUUAAUAAAGAUAUAAAAAUGGAUUUAGUCUUUCCUCUUCAUUUGCAUUGCUCUCAUCUUCCCAAUGGCUCUAACUGACAACCUGUCCAUGAUCCUUCUUACCCUCCUGGAUAUCCUCCUCCACGCAGCUCUCUAUUUCCUGGUGUGUAGGCUGUCCCUCACUGAUCUGUGUGACAUCUCUUUAUGUUUGCAUCCAUUGGAAUCCCUUUUUUCUGUGGUCAAGUACUUCUUGCUCUCUGCUUUAUGCCCUCGGGGCAGGGAAGAAGGCCUUCUCCCUCUGCAGCACUGCCUCACUGUGAUGAUCUUCCACUCAGCACCCUGUGCUCUCACUUACCCACAGCCAUGAUCCUUCUGGUCUUCAGCAGGGGACAAGAUUCUUCCUGUGUUCCACACCAUGCUCACCCCAAUGCUCUACUCUAUCUUCUAAAGUCUGAGGAACAAGGAGAUGUUGAGGGCCUGAGCAGAUGGACCCAGAGGUCCAUUCUGUGUGAUAUAGAUAAAAGGUCUGCCCCUUUCCCCGGGACUUAGCUUCAAGUCCAUUAAGCAUUGUGUAGGAACCUAAAAUAUUAUUUUAUACCAAGAGUGUGGAGACUAAAAACAAUCUACAAUAUAAAUAAACUGCUCAUGUCUGUACAAAAUUGUCUUAUGAAUGUGUGGACUUUCAAUAAUAUUUUAGCAUCCUGCUUCCCUGUGAAACAGAGACAGGACCACACCAGGACCCCACCAUGAGGCACCCCUCAUCCAUGCAGAGAGGAACCCUGGACGGGGGUUCCCUGUUCACCAAAUGGUGGCUCCACAGUUCAACAUCAGACACAUAUAGGCUUGAGGCUGCCACUCCCACAAAACUGGGAUGUCACAGCUUCAAUCAAGGGAUGACAAUAAGGACCCGGUUAGAAGGUCUCCAAUGUCCCUGUGGGCUUUGCUACACCUGUGUCUCCUCUUUGCUAUUACUUUUUACACAGAAUAUCUUUAUAUCUUAGAAUAUUAUUCUUUAAAAGGUGUCUCUUAAUUGUGUUUUCAAAAUUAUGGUUAAAAUUACUUCCCAGUGUAGGGAAUAGUAUAGAAAUCUUACAAUGUUUCAUGGACUAUAGGUCCAGUUACAGAAUGUAUAUAAUACCAAUGAGUUUCUAACAAUGUUUAUAAGUUUUAUUGCUCAAAAGUAACAUAUGGCUUUAAUGUGGAGAACAUUUUGAAUAAGACAUUUUCCCAAAUCCCUCAAACAUCCAAUGAACAGAAAAGAUAUUCAAGAAUCAGCAGCAAUCAUUGCAAUUACUGAUAUCUUUGAAUCAAUCAAAUUUACUCUCCAAUUAGAAGUGUCAGAAUUGGAAUUUAAGUCAGCAUUUUAAAACACUUAUUGUUUGAUCAAGGUUGUAUAAAUUUGAUUCAUUAUAAAUUGGUCCUUGAUCAAACAGCACAAAUUGUAGGUAUAAGCUUAAUAUUUUAAUAAGCUCUGUCAUGACAGUAUGUGGAGAAAAAGCUUACAUCAGCAUAAUAAAAUCAGGGAAAUAGGCUAAAAUAUCCUAGAAUUGAUUGUUCAAAUAUAUAUAUAUAUAGUCAGUCCAGUUAUACAUAAAUCUUUUUCGCAAUUGUUUUGACCUUUUCAUGUCAUCUGUCUAGAUAAUUAUAUUAACACUUUCCUAUUUACGAAAACCAACUCAUCAUGAAAAUUUAGAAUAUAAAUACCUUUUCAUUUACCUGAAGAUGAUUUCUUUCUUCUUAGGACCUCCUAGUAGAGAUCCUUUUAUUUCUGUCACUUAGGGCUGGAUAAUCAUACUAGCAAAUGUGUGUGUUUCCUCUCUGUAGAAACAUCUUCCUUUUCUUCUCUAGAAAUCUUUUUGUUUUACUUUGGAACAAUUUUUAUAAAUCUUAGAGUCUAAGCAAAUUACUUAUUGUACCUUGAUAAGAAGUGUCUCAGUGAAAAUAUAGUUAAAGCUGUUGGACAUUUUUGUUGACAGAAUCAUAUCUAUUUGUCAUCUUAUAAAAAUUGGUACAGUAAUUUGACAAUUAGAUUAAUUGAUAGUUGUAUAGCUCUUGAAAUAGAUAUUUUAUAAUAAAAUACAUUCAUCUUAAAUAUCUGUACUAUAAAAUGCAGAGCAUGAGAUAAAUGCAUGUAUAAGAAAUAUAACUUAAGUGUUUUCUGUUGAAAAACGAUUAGAAGCAAAUAGAUACAUAUUAAUUAAAAAAUCAGACAUAUAUGUCAAUUAUUUUAAGAAUUAAGGACUCUAGAUUAUCCAAAUAACUGGAAAGAUAUGAUUUGUAAUAAAAAUAUAACUUACUGUUAUAUAACCAUGGAAUUUUAAAGUGAGCCUCAUUAAAUCAUGUGGCUCUUAAAAGUAUUUGGGCCCAUUUAUUUUACUUUGGUAGUGCACUCAUUCUAUUUGUGACGUCACGUGAUGUGGUUAAAAAAAUUCUUGUGUAUACAUUUGUUUGUUUAUUGUAAUUACGUAGUCAGGAAUGAGAAGAAGGAUUUCUUGGUCAUCACAGAAACGUUGUGAAAAAAGAUCUCAGAUGCUGGCUUUUAUGUCUGCGGGGUGCAAAACGCAUUCCCAUCGUCUCCAAAAUUGUAAGAAGCCUAUGUUUGUGAUCUCUCAUCAACCGAACAUUAGUUAGUAAUAUUACCAUGAAGAGCAAAAAGAAGCAUUGUAAAUGAAGCUGUACACACACACACACACACACACACAGUUAUUUAGCUUCAGAGCGAGUCAGGCUGAGAGCUGCAAUUGAGAAGCCUGUGGAGUCAGAUUUUGUCUGAAAGAGAUCUUUUGUAUUUGAUGUGCGCAUUCUGAAAAAUGCAGGCUCCUUGCAGCUCCAGUGUCUGACCUCAGUGAAGCAGGAAGGACAGGUCAGUGGCUGGGAGGCGGGACCAGAAGCCCUCCCUGGGUGACCAAUGGGAACCCCUGGGAAAGGCCUGUGAAUACUGCUGCAGAUAGAGUAGAGGGGACUCACCCUUACAGAUGGGAGAACCCUUUCACCAGGGUUACAGGAGGAACUCCUAUACUGCCACAGAUAGGGUACAGGAGUUUGCCCCUGCAGGCUGGAGACCCCUCCCACCUGGGUGUCCUGGGAGCUCUUAUAGGACAGCAGCCAAAGUAGAGGAGACACACCCCUCCAGGCGGGAGACCCCUCCCACCUGUGUGUCAGGGGGAAGUUGUAUAUAGCCCUAGCCAGGGAGAGGGGGAUUUCCCCUUCAUGCGGGAGACACUUACCACCUGGGUGUCUGGGGGAGCUUUUAUACCGCUGAAGCCAGGGUACAGGAAACUUGUUGCUCCAGGCGGGAGGCCCCUCCCACCUGGUUGUCUGGGGCACCUAGAAUACCGCUGCAGCCAGGGAGAUCCCUCCCACCGGAGUGUUGCCCGGGAGCUCAUAUACCAUCACAGUGAGGGCAGAGGGUUUCACCCAUGCAGGCGGGUACCCCUCUUACCUGGGUGUCCAGGGAACUUUGAUAGGGCACCAGACAACGUAGAGGGGCUCGCCUUUCCAGGCGGGAGACCCCUCCAACCUGGGUUUCCAGGGGAGCUUGUAUACCACCUUAGCCAGGGUAGAAGGUACUUGCCCAACCAUGUGGAAGACCCCUCUUACCUGGGUGUCUGAGGGAGCUUAUAUACCACCGCAGCCAGUGUAGAGGGGACUCCUAACACCCACUUAGUUGUUGGUGGAGCUCAUAUACUGCUGCAGCCAGGGGAGAGGGGACUUGCCCCUCUCCAGUCGGGAGAACCCUUCCACCUGGUUGACAAGGGGAGCUUGAAUACCUCUCCAGCCAGGGUAGAGGAAACUCACCCUAUAGGCGGGAGACCCCUCCCACCAGGGUGUCUGGGAAAGCUCCUAUACUGCCACAGCCUGGGUAGAAGGGUUAGCCCCUGCAGGCGGAAGACUCCUCGAACCUGUGUGUCCAGGUAGCCCUUAUAGGGCACCAGCCAAAUUAGAGGCGAUUCAUCCUUCCAGGCGGGAGACCCCUUCCACCUGGGUGUCAGGGGAAACUAGAAUACUGCUGCAGCCAGGGUAGAGGGGACUCACCCCUUUAGUCAAGAGACCCCUCUAACAUGGGUGUUGGUGGAGCACCUAUACCACCACAGCCAGGGUAGUGAAGACUCACCCAUCCAAGGACUCCUUCCCACCUGGGUGUUGUGGGGAGUUUAUAUUGAACCUUAGCCAGGUUAGAGGAGAAUUGCCCCUCCAGGAGGCUGACGCCUCCCACCUGGUUGUCAGGGCGAGCUCUAAUACCACCAAAACUAGGGUAGAGGGUACUUGCCUCACCAGGCAGGAGACCCCUACAACCAGGUGUCAGGAGCAGCUCAUAUAGUGCAGCAGGCAGGGUAGAAGGGACUCAACUCUCUGGGGGGGAGACCCCUCCCACUUCGGUGUCCAAGGGGGCUCCUACACCCCCAUAGCUAGGGUAGAGGGGACUCGCCCCUCCAGGCGGGAGACCUUUGCACAUGGGUGUGUGUGGGUGCUCCUAUACCGCUGCAGCCAGGGUUGUGGGGACUCGCUUCUCCAUGCAGGAGACCCCUUCCCACUUGAGUGUCAUGGGGAGCAUGUGUACUACCUUAGCCAGGUUAGAAGGGACUCACCCAUCUAGUCUGGGGACCCCUCUCAUAUUGUCUGGGGGAGCAUGUAUUCUGCUGAAACAAGGGUAGAGGGGACUCUCCCCUCCAGGAAGGAGACCCCUCUCACCUGCGUGUUGGGGAGAUCAAUUACCACUGUAGCCAGGGUAGAGGAGACUCGCCCCUCCAGGCGGGAGACCCCUUCCACCUGGGUGACAGGGGGAGCUCCUAUACCAGGGUAGAGCAGAUUCCCUGCAUGAGGUGAAAACCCCUCUCACCUGGGUGUCAGGAGAGCUCUAUUCCCGCCAAAGCCAUGAUAGAGGAAACUCGCCCUUCCAGGUGGGAGACCCUUCCCACCAGGGUGUCAGGGGGAGUUCUUAUACCUCUGCAGCCAGGGUAGAGGGGACUUGCUCCUCCAGGCGAGAGACCCCUCCCACAUUUGUGUCAGGUCGAGCUUGUAUUAUGCCUUUGCCAGGGUAUAGGGGACUCACCCCUCCAGGCGGAAGACCCCUCCUACCUGGGUGUUUCUGGGUGGGGGAUAGUAUACAACUACAGCCGGGUUGCUGGGACUGGCUCCUCAAGGCGGGAGAAAACUUUCACCUGGGUGUCAGAGGGAAUCCGUAUCCUGCUGUAGCCAGGAUAGAGGGGACUCACCCUUUCAAGAGGAGACCCCUCUCAUCUGGGUAUGGGGGGGGCAGCUCGUAUACCAUCACAGCCAGUGUAGAGGGGACCCACCCCUGGACGCGGGAGACCCCUCCCACCUGGUUAUCCCAGGAACUCUUAUAAGGCACCAGCCAAAGUAGAGGGGACUCUUUUCCUCCAUGUGGGUGUCAGGGGGAGCUCAUAUGCCACUACAGCCAGGAGAGUGGGGACUCGCCCCUACAAGUGGGAGACCCCUCCCACCUCGGUGUCUGUCAGUGCUCCUAUACCUCCAUAGCCAGGGUAGAGGGGAUUCUCCCCUCCGCUCAGGUGACCCAUCCCACCUGGAUGUUGGGGGAAGCUGGAAAAACUCUUCAGAGUACAGGUGACUCACCCCUACAGGAGGGAAACUCGUCCCACCUUAGUGUUGGGGGGAGCUCCUAUACUGCCAUAGCCAGUGUAGAGGGACUCGCCUCUCUAAGCAGGAGAGCCCUCCAACCUGGAUGUUCCUGGAAAUCUUAUAUAGCACCAGCCAGGGUAGAGGGGACUCGCGACUAGAGCUGGAGACCCUUCUCAUUUGAGUGUGUGUUUGGGGGGUGCUUGCAUACUGCCUUAGCCAGGGUAGAGGUGACUUACUGCUCCAGGCGAAAGCCCCCUCCUACCUGGGUGUCUGGGAGAGCAUGUACACAGCAGCAACCAUGGUAGAGGGGACUCUACCCUACAGCCUGGAUACCGCUCCCACUGGAGUGUCAGGGGAGCUCCUUUACCGUCACAGCCAUGGUAGAGUGGAUUCACCCCUCCAAGCGGGAGACGUCUCCCACUUAGGAGUAGGGUUGCGGGGGCUAUAUCCCGCCCAAGCCAGGGUUAAAGGGACUAGCCCCUCCAUGAGGGAGACCCUUCCAAUUUGGGGGUCUAGGUGUUGCUCAUAUACCCCUGAAUUCAGGGUAGAGGGGACUCGCCCUUCUAAGUGUGACACCCCUCCCAACUGGGUGUCAUGGGAGCUCAUAUACCACUGCAGGUAGGUUAAAGUGGACUCGCCCCUCCAGGCAAGAGACCCCUCCCAUCUGAGUAUGGGGGGGGGCUUGUAUACCACAGUAGCCAGGGUAGAGCGGACUUGCCCCUCCAGGUGGGAGACUCCUCCCACCUGGGUGUCUCUUACACUGCUGAAGCCAAGAAAGAGUGAACUCGCCCCUGCAGGCGGGAGACCCCUGCCUCCUGGGUGUCCGGGUGCUUGUAUACUGCAUUAGCCAGGGUGGAGGGUACUAGCUCUUCCAGGCAGGAAACCCCUCCCAUCUUGCUAUGAGGGGGGAUCUGGUGUACAGCUGCAGCCAGGAAAGAGGGGACUCGCCCCACUAGGUGACAGACUCCUAAACCCUGGUUGUGAGGGGAGCUCAUAUACCACAGAGGCAGGGAAAAGGGGACUCGCCACUCCAGGCGGGAUACCCCACUUAACUGAAUGUGGGGUGAGCACUUAUACAACUACAGCCAGGGUAGUGGGGACUCACCCCUCCAGAAAGGAAACCCCUCCCACCUGGGUGUUGUGGGGAGCUUGUAUACCACCUGAGCCAGGGUAGAGUGGACUCCCUACUGCAGGCGGGAGACCCUUCCCACCAGGGUGUCAGGAGGGAGCUCCUAUACUGUCGAAGCCAGGGUAUAGUGUAUAUGUCACUGAGGCAAGAGAUCCAUCCCACCUGGGUGAUAAAGGGAGCUCUUAUAUAGUUGUAGCCAGGAUACAGGGACUUACUCCUCCAAGCUGGAGAUGCCUCUCACCUGGGUGUUGGAGGGGGCUAGUAUACCCCCACAGCCAGGAUAGAGGGAACUCACCCCUCCAGGCUGGAGACCCCUCCCACCUGUGUGGCAGGGUGGGGGAACUCUUAUACUACUGCAGCCAGGGUAGUGGAUACUCGCCCCUCUGACAGGAAACCCUUUCCACCUGGGUGUUGUGGGGAGCUUGUAUACCACCUUAGCCAUGGUAGAGAAGACUCGACCCUCCUGGCAGGAGAACCUUCACUCUGGGGUGUCUGGGAGAGCUCUUAUACCACAGCAGCCAGGGUAGAGGGGAAUCGCCCCUCCAGGCAGAAGACCCCUCCCAACUAGGUGUCCGGUUGGGGGGCUCAUAUACAGCUCUAGCUAGGGUAGAGGGGACUCACCCCUCCAGGAAGGAGAUCCCUCCCACCUGGUUGUGUCAGAGAGCUUGUAUACCAAUUUAGCCAGGGUAGAAGGGAUUGGAGGUGUGAAUUCCUUCUACCCUGGCUGUGGUAGUAUAUGGGAAAAAAGGGGAGUUAGGGGAAUUGGUGGUGCAGGGAGAGGAGGGCUCAUGGCCCAGAUUCACUUCAGGGUGUCAGAACUGAGAAGCAGGGCCCAGGAUGAAGGAGGACAAAGUGCCCAGGCAAGGGGCACUGCUACCUUUUCCCAAAGGAAGACUGCAGGAGCAAAUAUCCCAGUUCCAUUCUUUGGCUGUGAUGAGCAUCCUGGGAAAGGGUUCUGGAAAAAGAGCCCCGUAGGGACAAGGACAACAAGAGGGCCAAAGGAGGGCACAGCGUGAAGUGCUGGAAGAAGGGUGGUUUGUGGAAUGCAGGUCAAGACUGCAGAAAGGAGCCCAGGCUAAAGAUCAGAGGAGGGCCGAGGGUAAGGGAGAGCAGGGAAGGGCGGUGUCCAGCAGGCAGGUGCUGCACUAGGGUUCUGAGAUGCAGGGAACAUUAGGGGAACAGGGAAGUGGUCCCAGAGAGGCCCACAGUUCAAAUCUAGGGAAGCAUGGAGCAAGAAGGACCCCCAGAGGCUCAAGAGAGGAGCCAGUCCAGGGAAUAGAGAGCCAAGGGCCAGCACUGGGGCAGGGGUCUCAGAAUAGUGGACAGGACAGGGGUCUCAGAAUAUUGGACAGGGCUCAGGAGGGAAGAAAGGGGAUCCAACAGGGUAGAGGCAAACUCAAUGCCCAAUGCCACUGCCAGGUGUCAGUUUUCCUAGUGCUGCCCCAAGGGCCUAGGGAGAGCAAGUAGUCCAGUCUAGGGUCAGGGUUCUGUUUCUCAAAAGACACCCUGACCCAGAUGAGGAUCAAGGGCCACGGACCAUGCCAAACAGCUUUGCAAGGGCUAGGGGCCAGGAUGAGUGCCAUGUGAGGGCACAGUGUGGGGUCGCGGUGGGUGCAGAGAGGAGUAAGAGUCAGGACCCAAUCAAGGAGCCCAUGUAAGGGACCAUCCCCACCAAAAGGUAUUAAAGACCCAAUGAGCAGGAAGAACCUGCUCCAGGAAAGAGCGCUAGGGGAAAGAGACGUAGUAUCAGUGCUAGGAUGAGGAGAGAAAGGGCUGUGAAAAGGGCACAGAGGAAAGCAAGCUUGGGGGCUAAAUCAAGGGGUACCCUGGUCAGACAUGACAGGAAGAGACAACACAGAAUGCAACCCAACCCACAUAAUGCAGUAAGGAGCUCAGGCUGGUAGCCAGGCCAGGGGACUGUAGGGCAAAGGUUCAGGGUGAGGAAGAGCUGGGUUGGCUUAGGGCCAGCUUGCAAGGCUAGAGGGCAGGAGAGGGAAGGGAGGGGAUCACCCAGUGUAAGGUUAUCACUAGGACCAAGUCCAAUGCCAGUUGUCAAGUUUAGACGGCAAAGGGGGCCUAGGCUAGAGGCAGGACUGUGUUGCCCAUAGGGAUCCUUCAGGGCCCAGAGGCCAGCCAAUUUUACUCCUCUGCCAGGACCAAAGAAGGGCAAUAUGAGGGGUACCUUUGUUCCAGGAUUGGGGGUUGUUGGUAAGGAGCCAGCAAACAUUGGAGGAGACAAGGCUAGGGAGAAACAGCGGGAGGACAGGGUCCUGUCAAGGAUGAAAUACCACAGUACCAGGGGAAGAGAUGAGAGGAAGAGGAUGGGGCCAAGCAAGGGGCCUGAAAUCUAGGAAGAGGGACAGGGUCCUCAAGAAGUGCAAUCAGGGCCUCCUGUAAGGAGCCAGACCUAAGAAUGGGGAGCCAAGGGCCGGGACCCAGUCCUGGGUACUAUGGAAACAUACAGGGCUGGGGAGGGGAGAAGAGGGAGCAACAGUUGUGGGUGGCGCAAGGAAGGAGGGCUCAAGUCCCAGGUUUACUGCUUGGUGUCAGGUUCGAGGAGCAGGGCCUGGACAGAGAAUCCAAAGUCCCAGGUAAGGGGCACAACUACGUUUUCUCAAAGGGAGCCCACAGGGCCAAAUGCCCAGUUCCUUUCCCCUAGACCUGGUGAGCACCCUGGGAAAGGGAUCUUGAAAAGGGGCCCAGCAGAGACAGGGACAACAGGAGGGAUGAAGGUGGGUACUGUUGGGAAAACAUAUAACGGCGGCAGCACACCAGGAAAAAAACCCAACAUGGCACCUAACGACCUUCUUUCUCCUUUUUUUUUCCUUCCACUAGCGCGAAACGUUCCUGCAGGCGCCAAUGUUCAAACCCUGCUGGUGGGAAGCCUUAGCCCCAAAAAGAAUUAACUUCUUGGGCUCCGGAACUGACAUAUGGAAGAGCUUGCCAAUAAACGGGCAACCUGUUAUCUACCCCAGCCCUGCUACCUCUCCUUAGACCUAUAUAAAC